UACGUAGGGGGCGAGCGUUGUCCGGAUUUAUUGGGCGUAAAGAGCGUGUAGGCGGCCAGGUAGGUCUGGUGUGAAAACUCGAGGCUUAACCUCGAGAUGUCAUCGGAAACCAUUUGGCUAGAGUCCGGAAGAGGAGAGUGGAAUCCCUGGUGUAGCGGUGAAAUGCGCAGAUAUCAGGAAGAACACCAAUGGCGAAAGCAGCUCUCUGGGACGGUACUGACGCUGAGACGCGAAAGCGUGGGGAGCGAACAGG
This 253-nucleotide ribosomal RNA is filed under the name uncultured bacterium. Its description in RNAcentral is "partial 16S ribosomal RNA". It matches the Rfam family "Bacterial small subunit ribosomal RNA", at positions 524 to 776 of the family's 1533-position model. The record is from RNAcentral.